Molecule: ribosomal RNA, 497 nt
Filed under: uncultured bacterium
Lineage: Bacteria
Description: partial 16S ribosomal RNA
Rfam family: Bacterial small subunit ribosomal RNA
Source: RNAcentral
GAUGAACGCUGGCGGCGUGCCUAAUACAUGCAAGUCGAGCGAACAGACGAGGAGCUUGCUCCUCUGACGUUAGCGGCGGACGGGUGAGUAACACGUGGAUAACCUACCUAUAAGACUGGGAUAACUUCGGGAAACCGGAGCUAAUACCGGAUAAUAUAUUGAACCGCAUGGUUCAAUAGUGAAAGACGGUUUUGCUGUCACUUAUAGAUGGAUCCGCGCCGCAUUAGCUAGUUGGUAAGGUAACGGCUUACCAAGGCAACGAUGCGUAGCUGACCUGAGAGGCUGAUCAGCCACACUGGAAGUGAGACACGGUCCAGACUCCUACGGGAGGCAGCAGUGGGGAAUAGUGGACAAUGGGCGCAAGCCUGAUCCAGCCAUACCGCGUGGGUGAAGAAGGCCUUCGGGUUGUAAAGCCCUUUUGUUGGGAAAGAAAAGCAGCAGGUUAAUACCCCGCUGUUCUGACGGUACCCAAAGAAUAAGCACCGGCUAACUUCGUG